Molecule: ribosomal RNA, 292 nt
Filed under: uncultured bacterium
Lineage: Bacteria
Description: partial 16S ribosomal RNA
Rfam family: Bacterial small subunit ribosomal RNA
Source: RNAcentral
GUGCCAGCAGCCGCGGUAAUACGGAGGGUGCAAGCGUUGUUCGGAAUUACUGGGCGUAAAGCGGGUGUAGGCGGCCUCGCAAGUCAGGUGUGAAAUCCCUGGGCCCAACCCAGGAACUGCAUUUGAUACUGCUUGGCUCGAGUCCCGGAGAGGAUGGCGGAAUUCCAGGUGUAGAGGUGAAAUUCGUAGAUAUCUGGAGGAACACCAGCGGCGAAGGCGGCCAUCUGGACGGUGACUGACGCUCAGACCCGAAAGCGUGGGGAGCAAACAGGAUUAGAUACCCCCGUAGUCC